CCAGCUCCAAUAGCGUAUAUUAAAGUUGUUGCAGUUAAAAAGCUCGUAGUUGAAGUUCUGAUUGUUCGGGCCUCGCGCUUUAUAGCCGAGGAACCGACAGUCAUCCGCUUGCAAAUAUAUGUUCGCCUUUAACCGGGUGGCUAUAUGAGUAAGCAAUUUACCUUGAGAAAAACAGAGUGUUCCAGGCAGGUUUGUCCGGAAUGCAUUAGCAUGGAAUAAUAGAAUAUGACUGAAGUCGAUUUAUUGGUUUAAGGCUUUAGUAAUGAUUAAUAGGAACAGUCGGGGGCAUUGGUACUUGACAGUCAGAGGUGAAAUUCUAGGAUUUGUCAAAGACUAACAAAUGCGAAAGCAUUUGCCAAGGAUGUUUUCAUUAAUCAAGAACGAAAGUUAGGGGAUCAAAGACGAUCAGAUACCGUCCUAGUCUUAACUAUAAACUAUACCGACUCGGAUUCAGAUGAAUCAAAAAGUUCAUUUGGGACCGUAGGAGAAAUCAAAGUUUUUGGGUUCUGGGGGG
Molecule: ribosomal RNA, 514 nt
Filed under: uncultured eukaryote
Lineage: Eukaryota
Description: SSU rRNA
Rfam family: Eukaryotic small subunit ribosomal RNA
Source: RNAcentral